RNAcentral lists this long non-coding RNA (4508 nucleotides) under Gossypium raimondii (Peruvian cotton). RNAcentral describes it as "long non-coding RNA (GRAI_LNC000170)". Lineage: Eukaryota; Viridiplantae; Streptophyta; Magnoliopsida; Malvales; Malvaceae. The record is from RNAcentral.
UUUUUUGAAUUUUUUUAUUUUUUUGUUUUCUUUUAUUCAAAAUAAAAGCGUCAUGCAAAAUAAUAUUUUUCGUGACUAUUUUAUAGUUAUAUUGUUACUUUAGAUCCAGAAAAGUUAAAAUUAACAAUAAAAUACCCCUUUCGCGAUGUUUUUUUGUUAUGUUUUUUUCGACUUUUUUUUCACUUUCCAUAACAUUUAAAAUUGUCACCCAUAAAGUGAAGUCUGCUACCCUAGCACGGCUCUGUCUGCCCUUCUGGCAAGUCUAGGUUUUUCAUCAGUUUCUUGAUUUGACGGCUGAGAUCUUCAGUGUUUUGAAUAAUCCUCUCUUGCUAUUCCUUACGUACAACACCCAUGGAAUCAGAUUUUGCAGCUCUAUCCCUUGAUGAAAAAGAAGAAGAAAUCCUGCAAGCGGAAGGAGAAAUAGAAUUGCUUAGUGAAGAAGAAGCGCUAAGCCUAGUUGGUUGUUUCCUUACAGCCAGUAUCAUCCAUUUUCCUGCAAUGAAAAGUACCAUGGCUAAUUUAUGGCAUCCUAUCAAGGGGGUUCAAAUCAGAGAUCUGGGAGGAAAGAUGUAUAUUUUUAAAUUCUUUCAUAUUAUGGAUAUGGAAAGAGUUAUAAAAGGGUCCCCUUGGACAUUUAAUAAUCAUCUGCUGAUUUUGCAUAAGUUGCAAUGGGGAGAGGACCCACUCCGAAUUCCAUUAAUUUCAUCACCUUUCUGGGUACAAGUUCACGAUGUUCCCAUAGGUUUUUAUUCUGAAAGCCUGGCCAUGCAAUUAGGGAAUUUUAUUGGAAUUUUCCAAGAGUACGAUAGUUCUAGUUUGGGGAAGAAAAUAUGAAUUAUAUGCGGAUCAGGGUUCACAUUGAUAUCCGUCGUCCUCUUAAAAGGAAAAAGCAGGUUCAGUUUAAGAAUAAGUGUUCUUAUGUUCGAUUUAAGUAUGAGAGAUUAACUCUCUUUUGCUUCUUCUGUGGCCGGUUAGGACAUAACGAUUCAUAUUGCGAAGCAAAAAUGCAAACACGGUAUGAAAUAGAAAAGAUGGGAUGGGACCUGUCCUUGCGUGCACAGUCAAGGAGAGCCCAAGCAAUGAGCAGUGCCUGGCUAAGGGAGGAGGGAGGACCAUUAGGAAGAAGUAGUAGAGAAGAAUUCAGGAGCAACGGAGAUUGGAGAAAGGCAAGAAAAUUUGAGAAUAUUCCUGAUCCAAUUUUAGGUUUUAAUCUGGAAGGUAACGGGCUUAAAUUAGAGUUAAUUGGCAAUAAUAACAGGGAGAUGGAGCACGAUUUGGAGAAUGAGAUGAUUAUAGGAGAGCAGGGGAAAAAGAGGGCUAGAGGGGAAAUGGAUGAAAGUAUGGAGGUGGGAGGGAGGGUUAGGAGAAGGGCUGAAGCUAACCAUUUGUUAUCAGCGGCUGCCAAGAGGCAAGCCGACCGGUCGCAAUGAAACUCUUAAGCUGGAAUGUCCAAGGGUUGGGGAAUCCUCGGACAGUUCGAAGACUUUGGCAUUCGCUGAAGCAACAUCAUCCCCAAGUGGUCUUCUUAAUAGAGACAAAAUUAAACAAAAAUAGAAUGGAAAAAGUACGACGAAGCUGUGGAUUUCAGUUUGGCAUUGAUGUUGACUCGAUAGGAUCGGAAGGUGGACUAAGUCUAGCGUGGAUUGGAAAUGUUAACAUUACACUUCAAAGUUUUUCAAAUCGACAUAUUGAUGUUUUUGUUGAGGAAGGAGAAGUUGGAAAAAUAUGGAGACUCACAGGUUUCUAUGGUUCUCCUUAUUCAUAAGACAGGAAUGCAGCAUGGAAUCUGUUGAGGUAAUUGAGGAAUCAUGGAGAUUACCCUUGGCUGGUUUGCGGGGAUUUCAAUGAAAUCUUAUAUGGUUUCGAAAAGAAAGGUGGACUACCCAGGGAGGAAAGAAGAAUGGAGGCAUUUAGACAAGUUCUAGCAGAUUGUAAUCUGGUUGAUUUGGGAUAUUCUAGAAGGUGGUUCACAUGGGAGAGAGGGAACUUUCUUGAAACAAAUGUUCAGGAAAGACUUGACAGAGGUGUUGCAACGGAGCAAUGGAGCGUUUUAUUCCCAAAUAAUUUGAUACGGCAUCUUCCACAUUCAUUCUCUGACCAUUGUCCAAUCCUUUUAGACAUAACUUACAAGAAUUGAGAGGCGGUUAAAAGAAAAUUCAAGUUUGAAGCGUGGUGGGUACUCGAAGAAACAUUCUUUAGCGAAACUAAACGAAUUUGGGAAAAUUCUACAGGAGACCUUGUGAACAAGUUGGAAAUCCUCAAAAAAGGGUUGGAGAAGUGGGGAGCUAGAAUCCAACAGAAUCAGAAAAUGAAAACAGAGGGUUUGACUUCAAAACUGCUAGAAUUACUUGAAGUCGACAGAAGUGAUGAGAACUUGGCAGAGAUUAUUAAUACAAAAAUCCAGCUGAAUUUUGAAAUUGAAAAGGAUGAGAGUUACUGGGAACAGAGGGCCCGAAUUAAUUGGCUACAACUAGGCGAUAGAAAUACAGCUUUCUUCCACAAACAAGCGACUCAAAGAAGAAAGCUAAACCAGAUCCAUAAGUUGCAGUUUGAAGAUGGAAGGGAGACAGACGAGUGGAAGGAAAAUGAGGAGAUCACUAGAAUGUAUUUUCAAAAAUUGUUUAACACAGAUGGACAAAAUCAUGGUGAAAGAAUCCUAACAGGAAUUGAAGGAUGUAUCACAGAGGAAGACAAUAAUACUUUAAAGGCAAAAUACACGAAGGAGGAAAUACUGGAAGCUCUUUCAGAAAUGGGACCUACAAAAGCUCCAGGGGAGGAUGGUUUUCCAGCCCUCUUUUAUCAAAAGUGCUGGCCAAUUGUUGGAGAAGAUGUUUCCAAUUUUUGUCUUCAGAGGUUAAACGAAGGUAUGGAUUUACAUUCAAUCAAUAAAACAAACAUUGUGCUUAUCCCAAAAGUCCCGAAUCCUUCGAGGAUUACCCAGUUUAGACCAAUUAGCUUAUGCAAUGUGAUAUACAAGUUGAUAGCAAAAGUUAUUGCUAGACGAGUCAGAGGAGUAAUGCAUAAAUGUAUUGAUUUAGCUCAAAGUGCGUUCGUCCCAGGAAGGCUGAUUUCGGAUAAUGUCUUACUUGCUUACGAAAUCUUACAUACUCUAAAACUCAAAAGGGUGGGAAAAAAAGGAUUCAUGGCUGUCAAACUUGAUAUGAGUAAAGCAUACGAUAGAGUUGAAUGGGGCUUUGUGGAAAGGGUAAUGAAAAAAUUGGGAUUUGAUCCAGGAUGGGUUGAUUCAAUUUUGAAAUGUGUCUCUACAGUCUCAUAUGAGGUGAUUAUCAAUGGAAACAGAGGACAAACUAUAAAUCCAUCUAGAGGAAUCAGACAAGGAGACCCUCUCAGUCCGUUCCUAUUUCUGUUUUGUGCAGAAGGAUUAUCAAGUUUAAUGCGGCUUGCAAAAGAAGAAAAUAUUCUCAAAGGAGUUAAAGCAAGUCAAAGAGGACCAGCUAUCUCUCAUUUACUCUUUGCCGAUGACUGUAUUUUAUUUGCAGAAGCUUCAGAAAGGGGGGCACAAUCCUUAAAACAGAUUCUAAAGGAAUAUGAAUUGAACUCAGGGCAAUGUGUGAAUUAUGAAAAAUCAGUUGUCUUCUUCAGCACAAAUACAGAAGAGAGUGUAAGGGAUAAUGUCUCAAGGAUCCUCGGAGUUAGAAGAGCGAAUGAUAUUGAAAGAUACCUAGGGCUUCCUAGUAUGGUGGGAAAGAGGAAGAAAAUAUCUUUUCAAGGUUUGAAGGGCAGACUCAAACAAAGGAUUGAUAAUUGGAGUACAAGGUUUCUAUCCCAAGGAGGCAAGGAAGUUUUUAUUAAAUCGGUCUUACAAGCUAUCCCAACGUAUUCAAUGGCGUGUUUUCUACUACCCAAGACUCUAUGUUCGGACCUGGAAAGAAUUGUUGCUAAUUUCUGGUGGCGGAAGAGAUGGAAUAAAAAAAGUGUUCAUUGGUGUACCUGAGAGAAUCUGUGCUUAUUAAAAGAAAACGGUGGCCUUGGAUUUCGAAAUUUUGCGAAGUUUAAUAUUGCUUUAUUAGCGAAACAAGGAUGGCGUCUUGUUAAUUACCCAAAUUCAUUGUUGGCUCGUGUUUUGAAAUCAAAGUAUUAUCCCAAUUCAGAGUUUUUAAAAGCUCGGCUAGGAAAUUUACCUUCACUUACUUGGAGAAGUGUUUGGUCUGCGAAAGGUCUGCUGGAAAACGAUUUAUGCUGGAGAGUGGGGCAAGGUGAUAGGAUUUCCAUCCGAGAUGAUCUGUGGGUGCUAGGAAAAGAAAUGGUUAGAAUACCGAAUCAAGAAGUAAAUGGUAAUUUUGAAUUCGUUUCAGAUUUGAUCGACCCAAGUACCAGAAGAUGGAAAACAGAGCUAAUAAGGGAUACCUUCCAACCAGUUGUAGCGGAGAAAAUAUUGAGGAUCCCUUUGGCGGAGAUGGGACAUGAAGAUCUUCAAGUUUGGAGAGGGGAGCCGACUGGAGAAUUCUCAGUUAGAAGUGCCUAUAAACUAUUACAGGAGACUAACU